CUUCACACCGUGGAUGUCAUCGUGGCCGUACAUGAAUCGUCCCCCACAUCCAGCUCUGUUCAAUUUCAGGCAAAGUGGACGUUUCAUUGUACGGCCUGAUGACAUCCACGGCGUGGCU
RNAcentral lists this microRNA precursor (118 nucleotides) under Triticum aestivum (bread wheat). Its description in RNAcentral is "miR9676 stem-loop (tae-MIR9676)". Lineage: Eukaryota; Viridiplantae; Streptophyta; Magnoliopsida; Poales; Poaceae. The record is from miRBase by way of RNAcentral.